GUUUACUAUUUCAAAAAAUGUUUUAUUCUUGUAGAUGCACUGCCUCUUUUUCUUUUGCAUUGCUCUUCCUUUUGGUGAUGUUUCGCACGGGUAGUCGCUAACAAUUAAAAAAGGGAUCAGACGAUUGUGUAAGGAACAAACCUCUUGAGAUAAAGUCUCAAAAAGGGGUGUUUCAUUGACGAUGAUUUACAAUUGAAAAUAAACAGAAUACCUCCAAAGAGCGCAAGCACACGAGUACUAAAAGAAGUGUUUAAGUUUAAACUAAGAAAUCGAAAUUACAUAUUCUUUAUUUGAGAGUGUUUGAUUCGGGGUCCUUUUCUCUAUGUCUUCUCUUCCUUUUAUAUUCCCUUGAUUAGUUCUUCGUGGCAAACCACUUGAAAACUGCUUGGUUGCUGUAUAACUACCCACUCUCUUUAUGGUGGCUAAUUUGUCGUGGAACUGCCAUCUCUAACUGUUGUCAUUACUUUUUGUCGUUCAACCGCCUUCAACUGGGUUCCUUGAAUCAUGGAAUGUGAUAAGAUCACUUAAUAACUGCUUCAACAACUGCUAUUCUGGAUAACCAUAAUGUUUUAUGCUUGCUAAGAUCCUGGACGAUUCGAAGGUUUGGGCAAGAAUGGGGUCAUCACUCUGGGGGUCAUCGCUCUGGGCAACCGUAAAGUACUCCAUUCGCUCAGAUUCUGGGCGUCUUGCAAGCUUGAACGAUGAUAUUAUCGUGUUCGUGGGCUUCCAUUGCAUUCCUCAAUAAUCCUGUUUGGAUCUUUAUCCUGGACUCCCCAAUUGGGUUUCACUCUUUGGGCUAUUUGAUUUGGGCUGCAUUUUUAGUGUGUCAACAAUUACCCCCCAAUAUGGCAGAAUUAAUACUAAUUAUUAAUAUUUGCCAUAUUCACUUUGUUUUUUUUCCAGCAAUAUUUGAAAUUUUCAAGAAUUUCAAUCAUUAUUUUCUUCUACAGCCUGAAAAGGUGCAACGUUACAAACCCUUACAAACCCAAAAGACACGCCAUUUCAUCGCACCACUAAACCACGUCUCUAUAUUUCGUGCCUCUUCCUCGCUAUUUUACUGUUCAUCUUCUUGCUUCUCUGCUACGUUUCUCAGGCAAACCUUUUCAAAAUUGUACUUUGUUUCCAAUGGCGACUUCACAAACUCAAUCUAAUGAUUCUUUUAGUUUCGAAGAUUUCCAAAAAAAUUCUUACUAGGCCAUAUGUAAAUCCAAAC
This 1213-nucleotide long non-coding RNA is filed under the name Olea europaea subsp. europaea. The record is from RNAcentral. Lineage: Eukaryota; Viridiplantae; Streptophyta; Magnoliopsida; Lamiales; Oleaceae.